RNAcentral lists this ribosomal RNA (449 nucleotides) under uncultured bacterium. RNAcentral's name for it is "partial 16S ribosomal RNA". It matches the Rfam family "Bacterial small subunit ribosomal RNA", at positions 29 to 523 of the family's 1533-position model. The record is from RNAcentral.
AACGAACGCUGGCGGCAUGCCUAACACAUGCAAGUCGAACGAUGCUUUCGGGCAUAGUGGCGCACGGGUGCGUAACGCGUGGGAAUCUGCCCUUCGGUUGGGAAUAACUGAGAGAAAUUUCAGCUAAUACCUUAUAAUGUCUUCGGACCAAAGAUUUAUCGCCGAGGGAUGAGCCCGCGUAGGAUUAGGUAGUUGGUGGGGUAAUGGCCUACCAAGCCGACGAUCCUUAGCUGGUCUGAGAGGAUGAUCAGCCACACUGGGACUGAGACACGGCCCAGACUCCUACGGGAGGCAGCAGUGGGGAAUAUUGGACAAUGGGCGCAAGCCUGAUCCAGCAAUGCCGCGUGAGUGAUGAAGGCCUUAGGGUUGUAAAGCUCUUUUACCAGGGAUGAUAAUGACAGUACCUGGAGAAUAAGCUCCGGCUAACUCCGUGCCAGCAGCCGCCGCAG